GGCUCCAUCGUCUAGCGGUCAAGGACAUCCGACUUUCUAUCGGAGAACACGGGUUCGAGUCCCGUUGGAGCUU
RNAcentral lists this transfer RNA (73 nucleotides) under Scytonema millei VB511283. Its description in RNAcentral is "tRNA-Glu". It matches the Rfam family "tRNA". Rfam says of the family: Transfer RNA (tRNA) molecules are approximately 80 nucleotides in length. Lineage: Bacteria; Bacillati; Cyanobacteriota; Cyanophyceae; Nostocales; Scytonemataceae. The record is from RNAcentral.